CUCUCUCUCUAUCUCUCUGAAUUUGGGGGUUUCAACUUUGAACACUGAUCGAUUGAAGAAGAUCAAACCACCAUUUUUUUCCAAAACUCUCCCUCCGACACCCUCUUCUCCGAUGAGAUGAGAGGAACACUUGUGCAUCUGAUUUUUUCAACCAUCGUCACCAUUUACAUAUUCCAGAUUCAAGCUCAAGCCGCACCUGCCACCAUAUGAUUCUGUCAUCUUUAAUCAGCUCUAGUGAUCAAGCAGUUAUCCUCCAUUCUCAAGUGGACUUCAACAAAAUCACCAGUAUCAGAUGGGAAUAAUAUUCUUCUUCUUUAGUUCGAAGAUGGUUAUUUAGUGGAAACAGAUGUGGAAGGGAAUCAACUAAGGGUUGUGCCUUAUUCUAUUCAAGUGUCACAUGAUGUUGCUGAACUUUUCGAUGUUGAUUCCGUUAAUAGCAACAUUGUUCCAAUUACUCCCCCAUUAUACCAAUGUAAACAUCAUUAUAAUUUGCCAUUGCUCUGCCAUUUCUU
Molecule: long non-coding RNA, 512 nt
Filed under: Helianthus annuus (common sunflower)
Lineage: Eukaryota; Viridiplantae; Streptophyta; Magnoliopsida; Asterales; Asteraceae
Source: RNAcentral